AUACGGAGGGUGCGAGCGUUAAUCGGAAUUACUGGGCGUAAAGGGCGCGUAGGUGGUUAGGUCAGUCGGAUGUGAAAGCCCCGGGCUCAACUCGGGAAUUGCAUUCGAUACUGCCUGGCUUGAGUAUGGUAGAGGGAAGUGGAAUUCCGGGUGUAGCGGUGAAAUGCGUAGAUAUCCGGAGGAACACCAGUGGCGAAGGCGGCUUCCUGGACCAAUACUGACACUGAGGCGCGAAAGCGUGGGGAGCAAACAGGAUUAGAAACCCCAGUAGUCC
This 274-nucleotide ribosomal RNA is filed under the name uncultured bacterium. RNAcentral's name for it is "partial 16S ribosomal RNA". It matches the Rfam family "Bacterial small subunit ribosomal RNA", at positions 523 to 796 of the family's 1533-position model. The record is from RNAcentral.